AUGUAUAAUCAUUAAGUUUCAGUUCAGUAGUAUUAUAGUGAUAUUUCUUCAUUGAUUUAUUUUGGUACAUGUUAGUUUUAUAUUUAUUUAGAUGAUAAUCUUUGUUUUCUUUAAACAGGCAGCUUCCGACCUAUCUUUAAUAAUCAUAUUAAUUAUUUUUGACUAAUAUUAUGACUUCUUAUAAUAGCUAUAAUCAUGAAAACUGUUAUUUUAGUAAUAUUGAUAUACUAACUGUAAGGACGAAAGAACCUGAGAUACUUUGAGCUCCUGAGAAACAGACAAUACAAACAUACACAGGCAUCUUCGAGACACCCCGCAGAGUGGAGGAGCAGGAGCCCUCCUCCCCUUCUGGCCAUUUGUUUCAUUUUAAAUCCCUUCACCCAUUCUUCCUUAUACUCAGUCUGCUCAAAAUGAUUACAUGAAAAUGUCAAUGCAAGUGAACUAACACUCAUGUUUAGUAUCAUUGGAAAUGUCUCAGUGCAACUGGUACAAUGGUCUCACUCUCACAAAAGUAGAUUAGAAGAUAAUACAGAUCUGAAGAGUCAGGAGAUAUCUUGAUUACUGUGAUGGGAGUGUCCUUUCCUAGGGCCCUCCAUGUAAAUUACCCCCUGUUCCCAUUGAGUUGUAAAACCACCCAGGCUUGGGACCUGAGGUAAUGCAAAUUCCAAUUGUUAGUUUCUGUCUUCAUCUCGGGGGAUGUUUGUCUUGGUCUGAGGUAUUUAAAUGAUUGCAGCAAGAGGAUCAGGGCGAUUUCUGUAGCCAGAAAGCCCGUAGUGUGUUGUGUGUCUCUUCACUUCAUACUAUGUAUUUUCUAAGGUCAGGUAUGCAUAUUUUACUUUUAGAUUCAUCUUUGAGAAUUUGAUGUUUUGUAUUGAUAUGAUUUGAUGUGUUUCAAUUGGACAUGAAAUUGGCAAAAUACAUAUCUACCUGACUGUAAAUAAAUUGUUACAUUUUGAUUCUAUUCUGUCUUACUCUGUAAUUAUUGACUAGUAGAUUACAUUGUAUCCUUGUUAGCAACAUGAGCACCCGAAUGAAUGAGUUAAUAUAAAAAUAGAGUUAACUAGAAUUAUCAAAUGUCAGAAGAAUAUUAAUUAAAAAGGCAUACAACCAAUUUGCAUUUCAACCUAAAUUCGAGGUCAUACUAAAAUGGAGUCAGAUUAAAUAAUAAAAUGGAGUCAGAUUUGAGUUUAACCUAAAAUGAAUAACUCUACGCGCUGAAAGACAGAACACGCAGGAAACCUUCAUCCAGCACCGGAUACCUUCCUUGGGCCGAGUGUCUGGACCUUACAAAGUGGUGACCCCGACGACGUGAUCUCCCUAAUUAUGCGAGUGACGUCUUUCCAGCGCUAAUUUCAAAUUGAUUCUCUCUGAAGAUAUAAGGUUUGAGCUUCUUCCCUGUCUACAACUGCUGUGGUUGACCACUGCAAUUCUUUGGAGGACAGAUACCAGGAGGGUGUCUUGUCCCCUCUGCACCAAGCCAGGACAACAGAAUUGUUACAUAACCUGAAAUGUGGGAGAUGAAUGUGAAGACACUUGAAGGGGCCAUUCACACCUCACAGGAGAACAUCACCACACAAAUAUCUACAUGGCCUCCCGGAUUAGAACCGGAACUAAAUUUUUGCAACACAGAUUGCUAUAGAUUAGACUCCAUUCAUCUCCCAGACAUGACCAUAGCACACACAUUUCACCCAUUGCAUCAUCACCUCAUCUAGACUAUCCAGUCUGUACACUACAAUCAGAAGACAAUGAUGGCUUAGAUCACAAACGUGGUACUCCACUAAAGAUCUAUUGUCCAUCAUCACACUGACAGAACCACAUAGCCUCACACACACAGGACAAUAGAAUUGAUUACAUUCCCAAAAGAUACAACAUAUCUACUAUCUGCAACUGUCUAAAAAAACUCAUGGAACAACACUGUAACACACAUUUGCACAACAAGUCACAGAUUGAUGGUGCAAAAUUUUUGAACACAGAGGCAAACAAGCCUUUACAAUUUAAAAUAUUGAAUCUUUCUGAUUGUUAUUAGGAUGGUUGACAAGCCAGAGGGCCCCUGGUUUCCCAACACAUCACUAAUGACAAUAAGCAUUAUUAAAAUGAUCAAAUAUGAAGUGCCUGCACUCUCUAUCAAUCAAUCAUAAAAUUUUAAACUUUACCAAACCAUCAACUGUGACUUAACCUUUAUAUCAGAUACCCAUUCUCUCUCUCUCUCUCACACACACACACACACACACACACACACACAUGUUACAAGGAAUUUAGGAUUUACAUUGUAGAAAAAUGUUUUAAUCGAGUUUCUAAGUCACUUCUUAAAAACCUUACAUCUUCUAAAGUGACUUUCAAUAGAAAAUUCCUGAAUUAACAGUGUGAUUAUUGUAUAUACCUUCAUAAUUGUGAUUGAAUGUUCUUAUUUUCAUUAUAUGACUUGUUUAUUGUUUGCAUACCUCUAAAUUAAUGCUCAAAUUAUACUGACCUCUUGCUGCAUUUCCUUUGAGACAUUCAUACCAAAAUGUAUGUUUACAUGGGACCACUUUUAACAUCAGAUGUACCACUUGCACUGGCUGACAUGAAUUUAUCAGGUUUCUUUUUUGUUUUAUUGCUCUUAUAUUAACUUAUGAGUUUUCUUUCUUACUCCAUGGGUGAUGACAUUAAGCUGAUCAGAAUACAGUCAUUGGAUGGCCACUAAGAUGCUUUUCAGGUGUCCCACACAAAUCAGUGUGUAAGCAAGGAGAACACCUUCACCUACUGAAGUCUGCUUAAAAACUGCACCGCUGGAGGUGAGAGGAUUCACGAAGAUGGGUCAGACUAUCGUCCUAGAAAAGGUGCCAUAAGGAGCAGAGGUUUCUCCACAAAGGAAUGACACGUAAACUGAACAAGUCGUAAAGGCUCAGAUUGACCCACUGAACUGUGCUCACAUGCUGAGCUCAACCACAGGUAGAAACCCUGGAGACAUUCAUCCACCUGCCAAACUCAAGCGACACACACAUGCUGAGACAGAGUGUUCUGCAGAUGAAUACAGCCCUCAGAAGGUUUCUAAAGCUGCUUACAUCACAAAGACAAUUUUGAGAUAACAUCUCGAAGAUAAACAAUCAUCUAACGGUGACCCCAUUGGAUUCAUCUGAAUGUGACCCAUUGGGGUCAAACGGAGGAACUGUAAGGACGAAAGAACCUGAGAUACUUUGAGCUCCUGAGAAACAGACAAUACAAACAUACACAGGCAUCUUCGAGACACCCCGCAGAGUGGAGGAGCAGGAGCCCUCCUCCCCUUCUGGCCAUUUGUUUCAUUUUAAAUCCCUUCACCCAUUCUUCCUUAUACUCAGUCUGCUCAAAAUGAUUACAUGAAAAUGUCAAUGCAAGUGAACUAACACUCAUGUUUAGUAUCAUUGGAAAUGUCUCAGUGCAACUGGUACAAUGGUCUCACUCUCACAAAAGUAGAUUAGAAGAUAAUACAGAUCUGAAGAGUCAGGAGAUAUCUUGAUUACUGUGAUGGGAGUGUCCUUUCCUAGGGCCCUCCAUGUAAAUUACCCCCUGUUCCCAUUGAGUUGUAAAACCACCCAGGCUUGGGACCUGAGGUAAUGCAAAUUCCAAUUGUUAGUUUCUGUCUUCAUCUCGGGGGAUGUUUGUCUUGGUCUGAGGUAUUUAAAUGAUUGCAGCAAGAGGAUCAGGGCGAUUUCUGUAGCCAGAAAGCCCGUAGUGUGUUGUGUGUCUCUUCACUUCAUACUAUGUAUUUUCUAAGGUCAGGUAUGCAUAUUUUACUUUUAGAUUCAUCUUUGAGAAUUUGAUGUUUUGUAUUGAUAUGAUUUGAUGUGUUUCAAUUGGACAUGAAAUUGGCAAAAUACAUAUCUACCUGACUGUAAAUAAAUUGUUACAUUUUGAUUCUA
Carassius gibelio (silver crucian carp) is the source of this 3878-nucleotide long non-coding RNA. RefSeq lists it as uncharacterized. Lineage: Eukaryota; Metazoa; Chordata; Actinopteri; Cypriniformes; Cyprinidae. The transcript has 2 exons. The record is from RefSeq and is a predicted model, not a curated record.